This 705-nucleotide ribosomal RNA is filed under the name Salmonella enterica. Its description in RNAcentral is "partial 23S ribosomal RNA". It matches the Rfam family "Bacterial large subunit ribosomal RNA", at positions 1 to 747 of the family's 2925-position model. The record is from RNAcentral. Lineage: Bacteria; Pseudomonadati; Pseudomonadota; Gammaproteobacteria; Enterobacterales; Enterobacteriaceae.
GUUAAGCGACUAAGCGUACACGGUGGAUGCCCUGGCAGUCAGAGGCGAUGAAGGGCGUGCUAAUCUGCGAUAAGCGCCGGUAAGGUGAUAUGAACCGUUAUAACCGGCGAUACCCGAAUGGGGAAACCCAGUGUGACUCGUCACACUAUCAUUAACUGAAUCCAUAGGUUAAUGAGGCGAACCGGGGGAACUGAAACAUCUAAGUACCCCGAGGAAAAGAAAUCAACCGAGAUUCCCCCAGUAGCGGCGAGCGAACGGGGAGGAGCCCAGAGCCUGAAUCAGCAUGUGUGUUAGUGGAAGCGUCUGGAAAGGCGCGCGAUACAGGGUGACAGCCCCGUACACAAAAGCGCAUGUGCUGUGAGCUCGAUGAGUAGGGCGGGACACGUGGUAUCCUGUCUGAAUAUGGGGGGACCAUCCUCCAAGGCUAAAUACUCCUGACUGACCGAUAGUGAACCAGUACCGUGAGGGAAAGGCGAAAAGAACCCCGGCGAGGGGAGUGAAAAAGAACCUGAAACCGUGUACGUACAAGCAGUGGGAGCACAGGUUUACCUGUGUGACUGCGUACCUUUUGUAUAAUGGGUCAGCGACUUAUAUUCUGUAGCAAGGUUAACCGCAUAGGGGAGCCGGAGGGAAACCGAGUCUUAAUUGGGCGUUAAGUUGCAGGGUAUAGACCCGAAACCCGGUGAUCUAGCCAUGGGCAGGUUG